This 253-nucleotide ribosomal RNA is filed under the name uncultured bacterium. RNAcentral describes it as "partial 16S ribosomal RNA". The stretch from base 36 to 253 matches the Rfam family "Bacterial small subunit ribosomal RNA", at positions 559 to 776 of the family's 1533-position model. The record is from RNAcentral.
GACAGCGGUGCCCCGCUUUCUUCUUCCUCCCUUUUCUUCAAUCUUUUUUAUUUUUAUUCCUAAGUACCUUGUGAAAUCCCACGGCUUAACCGUGGAACUGCUUGGUAUACUGGGUGUCUUGAGCCAACUAGGGGCAGUCGGAACAAACGGUGGAGCGGUGAAAUGCGUAGAUAUCGUUUGGAACGCCAAUGGUGAAAACAGACUGCUGGGGUUGUGCUGACACUGAGACACGAAAGCCAGGGGAGCAAACGGG